GGCUCAUUGGGGGCAUGUUCUGCAAAACAACCACACCACAAGGGGAUGAGACAGGGAGAGAAAGACAGGCAGGCAGCGCAGGCUGAGGGACGGGGUCCUUGCACAGGGGCCCAGGGCUUAUACAAAGAGGCUGCUCUCUAGGACCAAACUUUGCUUCCGCAGGGAAGUUUGAGGGCUAACCGGGACCAUCACCGCUAAGAAAAUAAUUACCGCGACUCAGCCUUCGUGUUUAUCCCAUUAAGCCUCUCCUAAGAUCUAAUGUAAUUUCAAUAUGCUAAGGCAAUUGAUUAGGCCUCAAUAAGAAAAGCAGAGCCCGUGCUUUUCUGAGGUCCCGAAGCUAAAGUUUGUAGCUUCCCUCUUACUUUGGAGCUGUGAUCUUAGAGCCCUCCACGGAAUGGCAUUUUAAAGUGCAUUUAAAACACACUUGCUGCAUCAAAAGUUUAUGGCAGAUGGUGCAGGCAUGCACCGAUUUCGCAGGGUUUUUUUUUCACACGUGCUUAAACCACACGCUUCUUCUCUAAAGAAAACCAGGCCACUUAAAGCAGACCUAAGAGGAAGGGGACAGGUGAAUUGUGUAAAACGCAGUAAGCACAAAUGCUCACCACUCCGGCCAGGGGUGUGGACAGAAAGCAACUGAAAAGGCGAAUUGAAUUUACAUUGCAAAUCCUCACACAACAAAGCGGGAGUUUAUUUAAGAGAAGGGAGGAAGGACCCUUCGUCUCAAAGCCUUAGAACAGUUUUCCAGGCCGUUACUUUGUGUGCAGAGCCUUGUGUGCGAUCGGCGGAAGCCCUACGAGUUGGAGAAAGGAGAUCUCGCUUUGCAUAGAACACAGCGUGACACUCAAUUUCUCCGCCAUCUCUUAGCAUAUUUAUGCAGACUUUGGUCCUUUGACUAAGAAAAGAGGAGAUGUUAGUGCUAAACUAAGUAGUCGGCGGGCAUAUCAUUUUGAGAGAGUGGUGCCUCUUUGUAUCAAACCCAUACUUCAGACCAAAAAUGGUUACAAAAAGUGAGCGAUCGUGGCUUGCGGUUUAAUUUAGGAGGUGCCAGGAGCUGGGGUUGAGGGGGGAAGCAAAAGUAAAGUACACCUCAGAAACUUCAGCUGCAGCCCUGCUCGGAUGGGACAGAGCGGCUGCAGAGAGCCGAGCCGGAGCAAAAGGCGGCUUUGCUGUUAAGGACUGAAACCCCGUCCCUGU
Molecule: long non-coding RNA, 1194 nt
Organism: Pogoniulus pusillus (Red-fronted tinkerbird)
Lineage: Eukaryota; Metazoa; Chordata; Aves; Piciformes; Lybiidae
Exons: 2
Source: RefSeq, a predicted model, not a curated record